Molecule: ribosomal RNA, 496 nt
Filed under: uncultured bacterium
Lineage: Bacteria
Description: bacterial SSU rRNA
Rfam family: Bacterial small subunit ribosomal RNA
Source: RNAcentral
AGGCAGCAGUGAGGAAUAUUGGUCAAUGGGCGUAAGCCUGAACCAGCCAAGUCGCGUGAGGGAUGAAGGUUCUAUGGAUCGUAAACCUCUUUUAUAAGGGAAUAAAGUGUGGGACGUGUCCUAUUUUGUAUGUACCUUAUGAAUAAGGAUCGGCUAACUCCGUGCCAGCAGCCGCGGUAAUACGGAGGAUCCGAGCGUUAUCCGGAUUUAUUGGGUUUAAAGGGUGCGUAGGCGGCCUUUUAAGUCAGCGGUGAAAGUCUGUGGCUCAACCAUAGAAUUGCCGUUGAAACUGGGGGGCUUGAGUAUGUUUGAGGCAGGCGGAAUGCGUGGUGUAGCGGUGAAAUGCUUAGAUAUCACGCAGAACCCCGAUUGCGAAGGCAGCCUGCCAAGCCAUGACUGACGCUGAUGCACGAAAGCGUGGGGAUCAAACAGGAUUAGAUACCCUGGUAGUCCACGCAGUAAACGAUGAUCACUAGCUGUUUGCGAUACAGUGUAA